GGGUUACUUACCUGGGUCCUCAAAACUUUUAUUAUUUAUAGAGAAUAUGAUAGAACAACCUUGGGAACGUGUGAUUCUGAGAUUGUCAGGCUAUUGGAUGUGCUAUUAGUGGGCAAAAUAUUCUGGCCCUUAUCUGCUCCUACAAGAUAUGGAGAGUUAGUUACAUCCGAACUUAUCCACUCUGGGUGAACAGCUACUGCACAUACUAGGAAACUAGCUAUUCGAGAUAAC
This 231-nucleotide long non-coding RNA is filed under the name Elaeis guineensis (African oil palm). RNAcentral describes it as "long non-coding RNA (EGUI_LNC001699)". Lineage: Eukaryota; Viridiplantae; Streptophyta; Magnoliopsida; Arecales; Arecaceae. The record is from RNAcentral.